This 211-nucleotide small RNA is filed under the name Thermothielavioides terrestris NRRL 8126. Its description in RNAcentral is "Thielavia terrestris NRRL 8126 A. fumigatus sRNA Afu_182". It matches the Rfam family "A. fumigatus sRNA Afu_182". The record is from Rfam by way of RNAcentral. Lineage: Eukaryota; Fungi; Ascomycota; Sordariomycetes; Sordariales; Chaetomiaceae.
CCAUGAACAACGCAAAUCUUCAACAUUCUCGAAACUGGUUCCAAUGCGAUUUUCGAGGUCCCUGUCUGCGCUCGCAGGCGGCCGUGGCCCACGACCCAAAUCGUAGGUUUUCGAACAGAAUGGAGAAGGACGAAGGCUUCUUCGGCGCUCGAUCUUGGGUGCGGUUCUUCCCUGCUCGCUGUGGGAAGGGCCGCAAUGAUUGGACGUACAU